GAUGAACGCUGGCGGCGUGCCUAAUACAUGCAGGUCGAGCGAAGCGGGGACGGGUGAGUAACACGUGGAAAACCUCCUAUAAGACUGGGGUCACUUAGAGAAACCGGAGCUAAACCGGAUACUAAUAGAUGGAUCCUCUCUGCAUUAUCUAGUUGGUAAAGUAACGGCUUACCAAGGCAACGAUGCAGAGUCGACCUGAGAGGGUGAGCGGCCACACUGGAACUGAGACACGGUCCAGACUCCUACGGGAAGAAGUAGUAGGGAAGCUUCCGCAAUGGGCGAGAGCCUGACGGAGCCAAGCCGCGUGAGUGAUGAAGGUCUUCGGAUCGCAAAACUUUCUUAUUCGGGAAGGUGUACAUAAUCAGAAAGACACGGCUAACUACUCGCCAGCAGGCGCGGUAAUAC
Molecule: ribosomal RNA, 405 nt
Filed under: uncultured bacterium
Lineage: Bacteria
Description: partial 16S ribosomal RNA
Rfam family: Bacterial small subunit ribosomal RNA
Source: RNAcentral